This 72-nucleotide transfer RNA is filed under the name Basidiobolus meristosporus CBS 931.73. It matches the Rfam family "tRNA". From Rfam's summary of the family: Transfer RNA (tRNA) molecules are approximately 80 nucleotides in length. Lineage: Eukaryota; Fungi; Basidiobolomycota; Basidiobolomycetes; Basidiobolales; Basidiobolaceae. The record is from Rfam by way of RNAcentral.
GGCUCAAUGGUCUAGUAGUAUGAUUCCUCGUUUGGGUCGAGGAGGUCCCGGGUUCAAUUCCCGGUUGAGCCC